Anolis carolinensis (green anole) is the source of this 2562-nucleotide long non-coding RNA. RefSeq lists it as uncharacterized. Lineage: Eukaryota; Metazoa; Chordata; Lepidosauria; Squamata; Anolidae. The transcript has 2 exons. The record is from RefSeq and is a predicted model, not a curated record.
AUAGAACCCACAUUUCAGCAUACUGACACUGUGAACAUGAUGGUGAGCCUUUUUAUUGGCACUUGAGGGAUGCAGUCCUCUUCAGGCGUCCUUUUUGGGGCUGUCACUCUGGAGCUUGCAGUAGUGCAUCUUGAUCUCCUUGGUGUCGGCCAGGGCCUCGGCCACUGUCUGCAGCUCCGUGUGCUCGGCCCGGUCCCCACUCAGCAGCCGAUUUCCCCUGCUGAGGUGCAGGUGGCGAAAGUGGGCCAGGGCCAGGAAGGUGCCCAGGAUGAGAGCUGCCAGCACGCGGCUGCCCACAAAGGCCACACUCACCACCAGCAGCAUCUUCAUGGUCUGGCAGUGCCCUUCAAACCAGGGUAGCUCUUUCUUCCGCAUGCGCAGAGGACCCAGCGCCACCCAGUGGAGCUGCCCUUCAUGCAAAAAAGCUUGGGGAUGGUCAAGCGGACCAUGGAAGCAGUGGCAGGCCGAGGGCCGAGAGGGCUCAUCUAGGUUCUUCCAUGUGGCUGAGAUGCGGUCGAAGGAGCAUGUUUUCUUGCCAGGACUGAUUGGGUUCUUCUGGCUCCAGGCCGCAAGGAGACAGUGGAAGUGGAUCUCCUGGGCUUCACCGUCCAGCAAGAAAACGGGGGUCUGCAGGGUCAGCACAACGGCUGAGUCGUCUUUGCGGAACCAGGCCGCCUCUGAGUUGCUGGUGUAGAGGCACUUGUGGUUGUCUGCAAUGACGAAGGCCCUCUGGGACUGGCUCUGGUGCGGGGUGUCCAGCACAUAGCAUUGGUCCACAAAGAGUUUGGGGAAGAGCCCAGCUUCCACCUGGAGGGAGGCCUGGAUCCAGAUGGCGUGGCCUUGGGCAUAGGUGCCGGGUUCCACGGAGACACUGAGGUCCUCAUUGAGGACCUGGAGGAAGAAGUUCAGCUCUGGCUCCGUUUUGACUAUAUGGGCAGCGUAGACAUGGGCCUGGGUGGGAGACGUUGCUGCUGCCGGGGCAUCAGUUGGCACCACUUGGGUGGCAUUUGCGGAGUUGCUCCACACCAAAUCCUUGGCAGUGUGAAGCGUCCUCCGGAAGAAGCCCAUUUCCUCCUUGACAACUUCCACGGGAAGCAACAAGGCAUCUUCUUGGGCCAAAACCUGGACAACCAGGACGAAGGCCCAAAGGGCCACAAGGUCUUUCUAGCCACAAGCCAUUCCAAAGGAGGAGUAAGGGCUACACUGCCAGAUAAUCUGGGAUAAAUAGAUAAUCCAGGAUCAGAUCCUGGGAUAUAGGGCAGUGUAGAUCCAGCCUGUAUUUAGAUUUCUGUUCAGCUAUUUCUGACUAAAACAGGGGCACUUAAAAAGGCUAAAAUGUGACUGACAGCAUAUUAAAAAUUAUAUUUUAGCAUAUCCAUAAAUCAGAAUUUUAACAUUCACACUCUUUAAGUAGUCUUUGAUAGAGUCCCAGUUUGUUUGUUUUUUUGGCUUGCCAUAAUUAUUUGCUAGUAAAUAUGUUAGCCUAUCCAUAUUCAUAAUCUCUAGAAUGUUGGUGUACCACCUGCUGAUUUCCGGGGUGUCUUUAUUUUUCCAUAACUUAGCAUACACCAUUCUUGCGACUGUAAUCAAGUAAUUAAAUAGAGUUUCUUUAUUUUUAUCUACCUUGAUAUCUAGGUAUCCUAAUAAAUAAUACUUUGGGUCCAUUUUUAUAUUGACUUGUAGCAUUUUUUGAAUUUUUUUUGUAUCUUGGACCAAUAAACCUUUGCUUUUUUACAUGACCACCAGCAGUGGAAGAAAGUGCCAUCUUUGUCCCCACAUUUCCAACAUUUAUUGGAUACUUUUUAUAGUAUUUGGAUAGUUUUUGGGAAGUCAGGUAGAUUCUAUAGAAUAUUUUGAACCAGAUUUCUUUUAUAUCUGCAGCAUAGGUUAAUUUCAAUAUAUAAUUCCACGCUUUUUCCCAUUCAUCAAUUUUAUAGGUCUUCCUAUGUUACUUGCCCACUUUACCAUACAGUCUUUAAUAGUUUCCGUGUCUGUUGCCCAUUCCAAUAUCUUUUUAUAGAUAUUGGUUAGACCUUUCCUAUUCAUUUUCAUUAUUCUAUCCCAAAAUGUUUCUUUUUCUUCAAAUCCGGGUUUAUUGUCCUUAUUAUAUAUUUCUUUAAUUUGCAAGUAUUGAAACCAUCCCACUUUUUUAAAUCUUUGAUUAAUCUCUUCUAAACUUUUUAAAUUCAUAAUUGCUUAUAUUUUUUCCAACAACUCUCUAUAUUUUGGCAAAAUGUCACCUCCAAUUUCUCUCCAUGCAGUCAUGGCACAACUGAUUUCUAAAAUUCCUUGAAAAAUCUAACAAGACAUUGUGAUUGUUUCAAAAAAAAAAAUCUUAUAUGUGAAAUGUAACUCUCUCUAGGCAAGUCACAGCUGUAUAAAACAGCACCGGAAUCCAAAAAAGGAAGCAGAACUUUGCCUGUUCAACAAAGCUUUCUUGCUUAUUGCAUCUCCCUGCUUUGCUUGUCUGAAAAUCUGCUCUUGAGAGUGAGAAGAAUGGUAUACCAUGGGGGACUCCAGAGAGAGGUGUAGCCAGCAGAAUUAAAGGGCUUUUUGAAAUAA